RNAcentral lists this ribosomal RNA (465 nucleotides) under uncultured bacterium. RNAcentral describes it as "partial 16S ribosomal RNA". It matches the Rfam family "Bacterial small subunit ribosomal RNA", at positions 339 to 795 of the family's 1533-position model. The record is from RNAcentral.
CUACGGGCUGCAGCAGUGGGGAAUAUUGGACAAUGGGGGGAACCCUGAUCCAGCAAUGCCGCGUGUGUGAAGAAGGCCUGCGGGUUGUAAAGCACUUUCGGUUGGGAGGACUGCUUCUAGCACUAAUAUUGUUGGAAGUUGACGUUACCUUCAGAAGAAGCACCGGCUAACUCCGUGCCAGCAGCCGCGGUAAUACGGGGGGUGCAAGCGUUAAUCGGAAUUACUGGGCGUAAAGCGCGCGUAGGCGGCUAGAUCAGUCGGGUGUGAAAGCCCCGGGCUUAACCUGGGAACUGCAUCCGAUACUGUCUAGCUUGAGUACAGGAGAGGAGAGUGGAAUUCCACAUGUAGCGGUGAUAUGCGUAGAUAUGUGGAGGAACACCAAUGGCGAAGGCAGCUCUCUGGCCUGAUACUGACGCUGAGGUGCGAAAGCGUGGGGAGCAAACAGGAUUAGAUACCCCUGUAGUC